This 497-nucleotide ribosomal RNA is filed under the name uncultured bacterium. Its description in RNAcentral is "partial 16S ribosomal RNA". It matches the Rfam family "Bacterial small subunit ribosomal RNA", at positions 28 to 507 of the family's 1533-position model. The record is from RNAcentral.
GAUGAACGCUGGCGGCGUGCCUAAUACAUGCAAGUCGAGCGAACGGACGAGAAGCUUGCUUCUCUGAUGUUAGCGGCGGACGGGUGUGUAACACGUGGAUAACCUACCUAUAAGACUGGGAUAACUUCGGGAAACCGGAGCUUAUACCGGAUAAUAUUUUGCACCGCAUGGUUCAAAAGUGAAAGACGGUCUUGCUGUAUCUUCUAGAUGGAUCCGCGCUGCAUGAGCUAGUUGGGAAGGUAACGGCUUACCAAGGCAACGAUGCAUAGCCGACCUGAGAGGGUGAUCGGCCACACUGGAACUGAGACACGGUCCAGACUCCUACGGGAGGCAGCAGUAGGGAAUCUUCCGCAAUGGGCGAAAGCCUGACGGAGCAACGCCGCGUGAGUGAUGAAGGUCUUCGGAUCGUAAAACUCUGUUAUUAGGGAAGAACAUAUGUGUAAGUAACUGUGCACAUCUUGACGGUACCUAAUCAGAAAGCCACGGCUAACUACGUG